This 3651-nucleotide long non-coding RNA is filed under the name Homo sapiens (human). Its description in RNAcentral is "HSALNT0177588". Lineage: Eukaryota; Metazoa; Chordata; Mammalia; Primates; Hominidae. The record is from RNAcentral.
AGGGUUAUUGAUGAGUUCGGGGAGUGCCUUCUUCUUUAUAUUAAAAAUCUUUUUUCUUUACUACACUUCAGUGUAGGAAAUCCAGGAAGUACAGCAAAGUACUCGUUCAUUCAUUCAGUCAUUCAUUCAGUCAGCCAACUAUUUUUUUUUUUUUUUUUUUUUUGAGAUGGAGUCUUGCUCUGUCACCCAGGCUGGAGUGCAGUGGCGAGAUCUCGGCUCACUGCAAGCUCCACCUCCUGGGUUCAUGCCAUUCUCCUGCCUCAGCCUCCCGAGUAGAGUAGCUGGGACUACAGGCGCCUGCCACCACGCCCAGCUAAUUUUUUGUAUUUUAGUAGAGACGGGGUUUCACCGUGUUAGCCAGGAUGGUCUCAAUCUCCUGACCUCGUGAUCCGCCCACCUCAGCCUCCCAAAGUGCUGGGAUUACAGGCGUGAGCCACCGCGCCCGGCCCCAACUGCUAUUAAUGAGCACCGCCUUGCGCUCCCCAGCUCUGCUGCCAGCCAGAGGAUCAUUUAAAAAUUGAAAUGGCCUGUUACUCCACACAGAGCUGGGGCCCAGCAGCACCUCAGCUGGAAUGUGGCGUUUUUCGUUGCAGGGAGAAGUGGUGAACCUGCGGCCCUCAGGCUUGUACCUGCUUCACUGGGGGAGGCUUCGAAGGUGGCCCAGCUCAGCAGACACUGUGUGGAUGUCACAGCCCAGUAGUUCAGAGGACCCUGGACCACCACCUAGACAGAGAAGGCCACAGCCUUGGCAAUGUCCAGACCCUUCCUCCUCUGAUCCCACAGGAAAGUGCAGAAGACAGAACAUUUCUUAACUCGUUCCAUGAGGUCAGCGUUACUCUCACGCCAAAGCCGGACAAGGACAUCAUAAGAAAAGAAAACUACAGACCAAUACCACUCAGGAAUACAAAUGCAAAAAUCCUCAACAAAAUAUUAACUAACCAAAUUCUAUAACGUAUUAAAAAGAUUAUUCACCAUGGCCAAGUGGGAGUUAUCUCAAGAAAGCAAGGUGAUUCAGCACAAGAAAAUCAACCAGUAUAAUUGAUCAUUAGGAGAAUGAAGGGGCUGAGCACAGUGGCUCACACCUGUAAUCCCAACACUUUGGAAGGCCAAGAUGAGAGGAUUGCUUGAAGCCAGGAUUUCAAGACCGGUCUGGAAAAAAUAGCGAGACCUCAUCUCUACAGUUUUGUUUUCUUUUUAAUUAGCCAGGCUUGGUGGUGUGUGCCUGUAAUCCCAACAACUUGGGAAGCUGAGAUGAGGGGAUCACUCGGGCUUAAGAGUUUGAGACUGCAGUGAGCUCUGAUUGUGCCACCGCACUCCAGCCUGGAUGACAGAGUGAGAUCCUAAGUCCAAUAAAUAAAAAAAUAAUAGAAUGAAGGGAAAAUAAAAACCCCACAUGAUCAUCACAGUUGAUGUGGAAGAGGCAUUUGAAAACACUCAGCACCUUUUAUGAUAAAAAUCUAAGUGAACUAGGAAUAAAGGGAAAACUUCUCAACGUGAUAAAGGGUAUUUAUGGAAAAUCUAUAGCUAACAUCAUAUUCAAUGGUGAAGGGGUGAAAGCUUUCCCACUGAGAUCAGGAACAAGCUAAAGAUAUCCCCUUUGCCAUUUCUAUUUAACAUUGUACUGGCAGUUCUAGCCAGAGCCAUUCAGCAAGAAAAAGUAAUAACAGGCAUCCAAAUUGGGAAGGAAGAGGUAAAACUAUCCAUAUUCACAGAUGACAUCCCCUCCCCUCCCCUCACCUCCCCUUUGCUUCCUUCAUUAAUUAUAGAGACAGGGUCUUGCUCUGUUACCCAGGCUGGAGUGUUGUGGCACAAUCAUAUCUCAUUGGAGCCUCAAAGUCCUGGGCUGAAGCGAUCCUCCCACCUCAGCCUUCCAAGCAGCUGGGACUAAAGGUGUGUUCCACAAUACUUGGUUAUUUAAAAAAAAAGUAUAGAGCUAAGGUCUCACUAUGUUGACCAGGGUGGUCUCAAACUCCUAGGCUCAAGCAAUCCUCCUGCCUUGGCCUCCCAAAGUAUUGGGAUUAUAGCUGUGAGACACUGCACCUGGCCUCAUAAUCUUUUAUAAAGAAAAUUCCAAAGAAUACACAAGAAAGUGACUAGGCUAAUAAAUGAAUUCAUCAAAGCUGCAUGGCAAAACAUCAGCACACAAAAGUCUGUUGCGUUUCUAUACACCAGCAAUGAAUAAUCUGAAAAGAAAAUUAAGAAAGCAAUUCCAUAUAUAAUAGCAUUUAAAAUAAUUAAAUACUUAGGAAAAUACCUAGCCAAAGAAAUGAAAGACUUUCAUGCUAAAAACUACAAAACACUGCUGAACAGAAUGAAAGGAUAUCUAAAUAAAUGAAAAGACAUCCCAUGUUCACAGAUAGAAAGAUUUAACAUUGUUAAGAUGUCAAUACUAUCCAAAAUGUUCUAUAGAUACAACAUAAUUCCUAUCAAAAUUCCAAGAGCCUUUUUCACAGAAAUGGAAAAUCCAAUCUUGAAAUGUGUAUAAAUUGCAAGGUGCCCCAAACUGUCAAAAUUACUUUGAAAAAGAAUAAAGUUGGAGAACACACAUUUCCCAACUUCAAAAAAAUUACUAGAAAGUUACAUUAAUUAAGAGUAUGGUACUAGCAUAAGAACAGACAUAUAGACUGAUGAAAUAGAAUAGAUAGCUCAGAAAUGAACCCUCACAUAUAUGAUCAAUUGAUUUUUGACAAGAGUACCAAGACCACUCAAAUGGGGAAAGAAUAGGUUUUUCAAUAAAUGGUGUUGGGAAAACUGGCUAUUCACAUACAGAAGAAUGAAAUUGGACUUUUACCUUGCACUAUAUACAAAAGUUAACUAGGAUCAAAGACCUAAACUGAAGAGCUAAAACCAUACAACUCUUAGUUAGAAAACACUGGAAAAAUCUUUUUAACACUGGAUUUUAUAACAACUUCAUAGGUAUGACAUCAAAAGCACAAACAACGAAAGAAAUGAGAUAGAUAAAUUGGAAUUCAUCAAAAUUAAGAUUUUUUUUUGCAUCAAAGGACAUUAUUUAAAACGUGAAAAAGGCUCGGUGUAGGGCUCACAUCUGUAACUCCAAUACUUUGAGAGGCUGAAGCAGGAGGAUUGCUUGAUGCCAGGAGUUUGAGAACAGCCUGGGCAAUGUAGUGAGACCCUAACUCUACAAAAAAAAUUAGCAAAUUAGCCAGGUGUGGUGGAGUGCACUGGUAGUCCCAGCUACUCAGGAGCCUGAGGUAGGAGGAUUGCUUGAACCCAGAGGUUUGAGGCUGCAGUGAGCUAUGAUCACACCACUGCACUGCAGCCUGGGUGACAGAGAGAGAUGCUAUCUCUAAAAACAAAAUGAAGCAAAAAAAUGACACACACUGUGAAAAGACAAUCUACAGAAUGGAAGAAAAUGUUUGCAAAUUGUAUAUCUGAGAAGAGAUUAAUAUCCAGAAUACAUAAACAACCCCUACAACUCAACAACAAUAAAAACCAACAAUGCAAUUCAAAAUGGGCAAAGGACACAAAGAGACAUUUCUUUAAAGAAGAUGGCCGGGCGCGGUGGCUCAAGCCUGUAAUCCCAGCACUUUGGGAGGCUGAGAUGGGCAGAUCACAAGGCCAGGAGAUCAAGACCAUCCUGGCUAACACGGUGAAACCCUGUCUCCACUAAAAAUACAAAAAAUUAGCUGG